UCCCAGGUAGCACACAGACUCUGUUUCAGGUCUGUUUCAGAUCUGUUUUUGAGAGUCUGUAAAUUGUUUGGAGUGGCACACUUUUACAGACUGUCAUACAGGUCUGUGACAGAUCCGUAAAACGGGAUCACGAUUUACAGACCAAAAACAGAUUUUCAAGAAAAAAAAAGAUUUGCCUCCCUCUGGAAUCGAACCAUCAACCUCUGAGUUCACAAGCCAUUGUACACUUGUUCAUUCAACAAACAGUCUGACAUGUCUCUCUCACGAAACUGAUUGCUACAUAUGACUACCACUGGUCUCUUCCGAUAGUAACAAGACCAAGAUUGGCCCCACACCAAUUACAAGUCUUUAUUAUACCUAUUUAUGUAUAAUAAUACUUCUCCGUCCGGUGGAUAAACAACUAUUGUUGUUGUUCGAGUAGGCCUACUGAACUAAACUCAUAGCCAUUAGCUGCAUUGACUAUUAGAGUGUAACUUCUUACUGCAUGGUAUUGCAGUGAUAUUACACAUAUAAGAAACGUUUAA
Molecule: long non-coding RNA, 524 nt
Filed under: Daphnia pulex (common water flea)
Lineage: Eukaryota; Metazoa; Arthropoda; Branchiopoda; Diplostraca; Daphniidae
Description: uncharacterized LOC124193726
Source: RNAcentral